This 321-nucleotide ribosomal RNA is filed under the name Triticum aestivum (bread wheat). RNAcentral's name for it is "partial small subunit ribosomal RNA". Lineage: Eukaryota; Viridiplantae; Streptophyta; Magnoliopsida; Poales; Poaceae. The record is from RNAcentral.
AUGGCGAAGAAGGCCGCAAAGCGAGCUGUUGGUGAGGCAAGGGGUCGGGCGUAUGAGGACCUCUACCAACGGUUAGGCACGAAGGAAGGCGAAAGGGACAUCUAUAAGAUGGCCAAGAUCCGAGAGAGGAAGACGAGGGAUAUUGGCCAAGUCAAAUGCAUCAAGGACGGAGCAGGCCAACUCUUGGUGAAGGACGAGGAGAUUAAGCAUAGAUGGCAGAAGUACUUCGACAAGCUAUUCAAUGGGGAGAAUGAAAGCUCUACCAUUGAACUGGACGACUCUUUUGAUGAGACCAGCAUGCGUUUUGUGCGUCGAAUCUAG